UCAACGAUCCCUUUACUCAAAUCUCCUUUUUUAAAGAGAAGGAAAUAAAUGCAUGAGGGAGGGGUGUGUGAAUUCACCCAGGAUCAUGCGGCUGAUGUGUGAACUGCCUGAUUCCUCAGGAUGGCUCAACAGCAUUUCUAGACAGAUGCCAUAGACGGUGAUGAAAAUCCCACCAUAUUAUUAGUGAGAGAGGUUCCAGAUUCCUUUGGCAGCGUGGGGAGAGAUUUUUAAAGGCGGCGCCAUCUCGUGGCCGCGAUGGUGAACAGCAGCUUACCGGCAGAGAAGGCCAGUUGCUAAGGACAGCAGCUGCAGCCAUUUAUCUCUGCUCUGACUAAAUGGCCGGAAAAAUCAUAGAAUGUUCAUAUCGAGAGCAACCUCCAGAGAUUUUCUGUCAAGACAUCUGCCUCCAGCCAACACGAAUAAUAUAUCUUAUGCUUAGAGUGUUGUGUAACACACUUUUACAAAUAUUAUCACAUUUUAUUUCUCACAUCAGCCCUGUGAAUUUUGAUAAAAUCAUUACCUCCGUAUUAAAGAUGAGUGGUUGAUCA
Ictidomys tridecemlineatus (thirteen-lined ground squirrel) is the source of this 548-nucleotide non-coding RNA. The record is from RefSeq and is a predicted model, not a curated record. NCBI's taxonomy places the organism in Eukaryota, Metazoa, Chordata, Mammalia, Rodentia, Sciuridae.